GGCCAAGAAGAGAAAUAUGCGUUGUUCCUAAAGAGAUUGGACGAAGGUGCGGUGGGACUGGGGAAUAUAUCGAUGACACAGGUAUUAUAUCCUUAAGGCAAAUA
RNAcentral lists this long non-coding RNA (104 nucleotides) under Felis catus (domestic cat). Its description in RNAcentral is "lncRNA (ENSFCAG00000042037.2)". Lineage: Eukaryota; Metazoa; Chordata; Mammalia; Carnivora; Felidae. The record is from RNAcentral.